AGAGUCACUUCCGCAAGGUGGAGGACCUCUUCCUGACCUUCGCCAAAAAGGCUUCUGCCUUCAACAGCUGGUUUGAAAAUGCAGAGGAGGACUUAACAGACCCCGUGCGCUGCAACUCCUUGGAAGAAAUCAAAGCUUUGCGCGAGGCCCACGACGCCUUCCGCUCCUCCCUCAGCUCUGCCCAGGCUGACUUCAACCAGCUGGCCGAGCUGGACCGCCAGAUCAAGAGCUUCCGUGUAGCCUCCAACCCCUACACCUGGUUUACCAUGGAGGCCCUGGAGGAGACCUGGAGGAACCUACAGAAAAUCAUCAAGGAGAGGGAGCUGGAGCUGCAGAAGGAACAGCGGCGGCAGGAGGAGAACGACAAGCUGCGCCAGGAGUUUGCCCAGCACGCCAACGCCUUCCACCAGUGGAUCCAAGAGACCAGGACAUACCUCCUCGAUGGGUUAAUAUUGUUUUCUUCCUUCUCCUGGGCUUGUCGUGUGGGGGUCUCGUGCGCUUGCCCCUCGUGGCCUGGCUUGUGGAGGAUCCCGGGAUGGGCCUUCCUGCCCAGGGCGGGCUGCACUUCCCCUCCCACCUUUCCCGUCACCUGACGAGGAGUGUGUGCCUUGCCCCAUAGCCCAUGGUCCCUGGUCCCCGAUAGAGCCUUCAAGCCAGGGGGAGCCGCCCUUGCCUCACUGGGCGAUUCCAAGGGCUCACUUUGGGUAGGGAAGGUGAUGAAGCAUGAAGGCCAGAGCUGGAGUCCAGGGGCCCUAAGAACCCCUGUGCCUGUCCAGCCACCGGGCUCUGUUGGGCUCUCACCUCUGCUUCCCCAGCGUGUCCAACAGUGGUCAGUGGGCAUGACGCAGAUGGCAGUGUUGGGGGCUCAGGCAGGGUACAGUAAGUCCACAGCUGAGAAGGGCUGGGCAUUGACACCCCGCAAGUAGCUGAGGCUGCCACUUUACUUUCCUGGGGUCAGGGAGGGUAACAAGAACUGUCCGCCCUAAUAGAAGGCAAAAAUGCACCCAUUAUGAUGUGAUAGACAGGACGUGGGAGGAGCCCCAGGGAGGAGCAGGGCUGUCCCGCCCACUCCCUGUAGGGGCUUCUCUACUUGGCCUGGGGCCUCUGCCUGGGCGGGUCACCUUUGUAAUCUGCCAAGCCUGCUGUGAAAGCCAGGGCUGGUGGGACUGGAGUGGCUUAGCCUGCACUCCUGAGGCUCUGCACACAGGCACAUCAAGCCUGUACAGGCGGCAGGGGAGAAAUAGACCCAUCCAGCCGGGCCACACAUUCUGAUGGCAGAGCAGCUGGGGACGUAGGGAUCGCAGUUUCCGGCCUGUGCCCGUAGGACACCCUGGCCACCUGACUCCCCUCCCUGCCCCAUGGCUGUGUCUGCUGGUCUUGCUCUUGUCUCUGUGAGGUGCCACGCUCCCCUCACCUUAUGGCUCCUCCCAAGCCCUGCCCGUCUUGCCCAUUCCUAGUGUGAGCUGCCUGGGGUGAGCCAUUGGGCCUGUUGCCUCCAGGUACCCGCCGGGCACCAGGUUGCCCUUGCCUGCGCCCUGCCAGCUU
RNAcentral lists this small RNA (1545 nucleotides) under Pongo abelii (Sumatran orangutan). RNAcentral describes it as "retained intron". Lineage: Eukaryota; Metazoa; Chordata; Mammalia; Primates; Hominidae. The record is from RNAcentral.